This 497-nucleotide ribosomal RNA is filed under the name uncultured bacterium. RNAcentral's name for it is "partial 16S ribosomal RNA". It matches the Rfam family "Bacterial small subunit ribosomal RNA", at positions 28 to 507 of the family's 1533-position model. The record is from RNAcentral.
GAUGAACGCUGGCGGCGUGCCUAAUACAUGCAAGUCGAGCGAACGGACGAUAAGCUUGCUUCUCUGAUGUUAGCGGCGGACGGGUGAGUAACACGUGGAUCACCUACCUAUAUGACUGGGAUAACUUCGGGAAACCGUAUCUAAUACCAGAUCAUAUUUUGAACCGCAUGGUGCAAAAGUAAAAGACGGUCUUGCUGUCACUUAUAGAUGGAUCCGCGCUGCAUUAGCUAGUUGGUAAGGUAACGGCUUACCAAGGCAACGAUGCAUAGCCGACCUGAGAGGGUGAUCGGCCACACUGGAACUGAGACACGGUCCAGACUCCUACGGGAGGCAGCAGUAGGGAAUCUUACGCAAUGGGCGAAAGCCUGACGGAGCAACGCCGCGUGAGUGAUGAAGGUCUUCGGAUCGUAAAACUCUGUUAUUAGGGAAGAACAUAUGUGUAAGUAAAUGUGCACAUCUUGACGUUACCUAAUCAGAAAGCCACGGCUAACUACGUG